CCUACGGGAGGCAGCAGUGGGGGAUAUUGCACAAUGGGGGGAACCCUGAUGCAGCGACGCCGCGUGGGUGAAGAAGCGCCUCGGCGCGUAAAGCCCUGUCAGCAGGGAAGAAAAUGACGGUACCUGAAGAAGAAGCCCCGGCUAACUACGUGCCAGCAGCCGCGGUAAUACGGAAGGUCCGGGCGUUAUCCGGAUUUAUUGGGUUUAAAGGGAGCGUAGGCCGGCUUUUAAGUCAGCUGUGAAAGUCCGCGGCUCAACCGUGGAAUUGCAGUUGAAACUGGAGGCCUUGAGUGCACACAGGGAUGCCGGAAUUCAUGGUGUAGCGGUGAAAUGCUUAGAUGUCAUGAAGAACUCCGAUCGCGAAGGCAAGUGUCCGGGGUGCAACUGACGCUGAGGCUCGAAAGUGCGGGUAUCAAACAGGAUUAGAUACCCUUGUAGUC
RNAcentral lists this ribosomal RNA (440 nucleotides) under uncultured bacterium. RNAcentral's name for it is "partial 16S ribosomal RNA". It matches the Rfam family "Bacterial small subunit ribosomal RNA", at positions 338 to 795 of the family's 1533-position model. The record is from RNAcentral.